AUUGAACGCUGGCGGGAUGCCUUACACAUGCAAGUCGAACGAGUGGCGGACGGGUGAGUAAUAUAUCGGAACCUGCCCGGUAGCGGGGGAUAACUACUGGAAACGGUGGCUAAUACCGCAUACUAUCAGAGCGGCCCAUAUCGGAUUAGCUAGUUGGUGGGGUAAAGGCUCACCAAGGCGACGAUCCCUAGCUGGUUUGAGAGGAUGACCAGCAACACUGGAACUGAGACACGGCCCAGACUCCUACGGGAGGCAGCAGUGGGGAAUUUUGGACAAUGGGCGAAACCCUGAUGCAGCCAUCCCGCGUGUAUGAGAAGGCCUUCGGGUUGUAAAGUACUUUUGGCAGAGAGGCGGUAUCUGCAGAAUAAGCACCGGCUAACUACGUGCCAGCCGCCGCGGUAAUUC
This 405-nucleotide ribosomal RNA is filed under the name uncultured bacterium. RNAcentral's name for it is "partial 16S ribosomal RNA". It matches the Rfam family "Bacterial small subunit ribosomal RNA", at positions 30 to 526 of the family's 1533-position model. The record is from RNAcentral.